GACGAACGCUGGCGGCGUGCUUAACACAUGCAAGUCGAACGGUAAGGCUCCAGCUUGCUGGGGUACACGAGUGGCGAACGGGUGAGUAACACGUGGGUGACCUGCCCUGCACUUCGGGAUAAGCCUGGGAAACUGGGUCUAAUACCGGAUAGGACCGCACCGUGAGGGUGUGGUGGAAAGUUUUUUCGGUGUGGGAUGGGCCCGCGGCCUAUCAGCUUGUUGGUGGGGUAAUGGCCUACCAAGGCGGCGACGGGUAGCCGGCCUGAGAGGGUGGACGGCCACAUUGGGACUGAGACACGGCCCAGACUCCUACGGGAGGCAGCAGUGGGGAAUAUUGCACAAUGGGCGGAAGCCUGAUGCAGCGACGCGGCGUGGGGGAUGACGGCCUUCGGGUUGUAAACUCCUUUCACCAUCGACGAAGGGUUUCUGACGGUAGAUGGAGAAGAAGCACCGGCUAACUACGUG
This 465-nucleotide ribosomal RNA is filed under the name uncultured bacterium. RNAcentral describes it as "partial 16S ribosomal RNA". It matches the Rfam family "Bacterial small subunit ribosomal RNA", at positions 28 to 507 of the family's 1533-position model. The record is from RNAcentral.